Molecule: ribosomal RNA, 165 nt
Filed under: uncultured bacterium
Lineage: Bacteria
Description: partial 16S ribosomal RNA
Source: RNAcentral
CCCCUCUGGUGCGUCGCCUGAGGAGCACCUCGCGUGAGUGAGACGCCUUCGGGUCGUAAAGCUCUGCUGUAUCGGUGAGAAUGACGGUACCUUAAGAGGAAGCCCCGGCUAACUACGUGCCAGCAGCCGCGGUAAUACUACGUGCCAGCAGCCGCGGUAAUCAUA